UAUUUCCUUGAGUGCUUUGAAAAUAUUCAGACAGUAAACACAGCAUGAUACUUUGCUAGUGUCUUCCUUUCUUGGAAUUCCUUUUAGUUAUUCUUCAAUGAAAAGUGUUGCAUACUCUAACCAAAUUGAGUGUGCCCAUUUGUAUACAUAAAAUAUAGACACAUUUUCAUUCUGAAUUUCUCUCUUUUUAAAAUAAAUUUUUGACUAUAUAUAUUUUUCUAAAUGACAUUCAUGUUUUCCAAGCUCUGUGACUCAAACAAGUCCAAGUGUGUUUUAUUUCUACACAAAGUGACAGAUUUGAAAAUCUCUUAACACAUCAAUUUUAACACUAAAAAUUGCCCUUUAUUGUUUUAAAUGUUGAAUCUGUAUAAUAUCAAGUCCAUUUCUCAAGAGAGUUUUAAAUAAAUUUUCUGUUGUGUUUAUAGUAUUGCUGAGUAUGUUUGCUAGUUAAGCACUGAUUUAAAUUGUUUUAGAUAUAUGCAUAUCAGUGUUUGUUAUCAGGGAACACAUUCUCUCUUAAUUCUUCCUGGUUUUACCCCAGCAGAAGCCAGAUGAAGGAAAGCAUCUCAGCUUCAUCUGGAAUGCAUAAGAUAGUGUCUCAUUUGGAAAGUACUGUUGCACAAAAUGUAAUGGUCUUAUCUCCAAUUGCAAUGACUUCAUAUCUAUGAACAUGGUGGUGUCUAAAGAGUGAUGAUGAAAUCUAUAUGUAACUCAUAACUGACAUUAUUUUUAACAGAGUGAUUCUGAGCAAGAUAAUGAGUGUACUUCUUGUCUAUUUGGUGUAUUCCGUUCACCCACAAAAAAAGGAAUAAAAGGAUAUGUAAAAGGACAAAAACACAGUGAAGAAACAGCAAAUGGAAAAGGCAAAAGAAGUACAAAUAGUUGUGGAGCAUUCCUGAAACCCACAGCAGAGUUAAAUUUGGACAGAUCAUCUGAGGCAGAACAGAAGAGGCUUCAUGAUAUGGAUGAUACUGCACAUCACCAGCAAAAGGUAGGCAUAUGUGUCCAUUUAAAUUCUUUUUCUUGCUUCCAGAUGCCAAUUGAAAUGACCUACUACAGUACUCUUUGAAAAUCCAAACAUAGUAAUUAAAUAUUUAAGUACAGAGAAGUUAACUGGUCAUCAAUAUCAAAAUAGCUUUAGCAAUCAAGGUGAAUGACAGAUAAACUUUAUGCAAGUAAUUGCACUACUAUUUUCCAAUAAUGUUUGCAUUUUCAUCUAUGUGACAGCCUUAAAUGGUGAAUGAUAAAUUGCAGAAUAUCAUAUCAGUUGAAACUAGGAACAUGCAUAAAUGCAAUGACCGCUGAACACAUUCAUGUAAAAAUAGCUUCAUUCCCAAAGGCUCAGUGUUUAAUUUCACAUUAGCUGUCACCCAUGACAAGGUUAACGAUGUUUUUCUCCAUGGAUUCCUGUGUCUUUACUGAGGAAGAUACCAGACUUAAAUGAGACCCAAAACUGCCUGUUAAUGGAAAAUGAUUCAGGAUGGGUACUUUUCUGUUAAUAUACAUACAGUUUCUAUUGAUUUUAUGUCAUUUCCUUUCAAGAAAUCAAUUCACUUAUUAAACAUAUUUUUUUCUUAGUAUCUAGAUGUUGUUAGACCUAAGUCAUUGGAUGCAAUUAUUGAGAAAUCAUGAAAUUUGGGAGGUGUAUUUUUCCUCUGUUCUCAUGUUGUCUGUGUUAGUAAAUUGUGGAUUUCCAUGCAUUUGAAUGGAUUUCUGUUCCAUAGUGUCUCCUGGGUACUUGGAGUGUGCAAGUUUCUCUUUGGGAUGUUUCCUGGACAGGGUUUAUAGAUGAGGAUCACAUCUGAAAAAUGAGCAUGUUUAACAUGUUACUUUCACUCACAAGUAUCUCUGUAAGGGGAGAGUAUCACAGAGCCACCAUCACCUUGCCAGGGUAGUUUCCUGCUCAGAAGGUGUAAGCCACCUGGGAAAAAGAAAGUCUCAAGUAAUUAGUAAGGAAAUAAGAGACAGAGCCAGAAAUUAAGUUUGAAAAGGAAAGCAGAGCUCCUGAAAGGUUCCCCAAUCCCAGUAGAAGCUGGAACUGAACAACUAGAAAAAGGAUCAAGUUGUUUAUUUAAGGGAGAGUAGAUCAAAGGCAGAGAUAAGUUUUUAGCGGGAGGAAUAUUGCUUUUUGGUGUGUUAGGGUUCUUGCAGCAAUGAAGUUGAUUGGCAUCUUGACAGGCCACACCCAACUCUGAAAGGCUGUGUAGCUGUGUGGCUCCAGCUGGUCCACCCAUCUCCAGUGCAGUGCUGAACCUGACACAGCUUUGUAAGAAGCCAGUGGCUUCUAAGUCAAUUUGCUUCACACCAAGUUCGCAUUGGCUCCUGUCAGGAGAGACUAAACUCCAAUAAUGAUCACAGCAUAAACCAAAAUAUGUAUCCACUGUACAUAAAAUAUUAUGUUUUAAAUGAUCUCCAGAGCAGCACAAAGUGAAGAGAUGGAGUAGGAAAUAACAAGGUUAACCUGCAAAAAAAAAAUAUAUAUCCUGGUUAUAAUAUAAUUAUUGGAACAUAUUUCAAAAAAGUAAGUAGAGUGAAAGUGGUGAGAGUAAGCAGAGUCAGAAUAGGAGUAGAGGAAAAAAUGCAAUAAAAAUGAGAAAUGAAAAGAUUUAAAAUGAGAAUAAAAAUUGUCUCUGGCUAACAAAAAAAAUGAAUGAAUGGAAUAAAACUCUCAAAUAAAUAGAAAGAGAAAAAUAAAUAACAUGGAAAACUCAUAAAAAUUAUCAAACAAAAAUAUCAGAAACAAUAA
Marmota monax (woodchuck) is the source of this 2746-nucleotide long non-coding RNA. RefSeq lists it as uncharacterized. The record is from RefSeq and is a predicted model, not a curated record. The transcript has 3 exons. Lineage: Eukaryota; Metazoa; Chordata; Mammalia; Rodentia; Sciuridae.